Molecule: ribosomal RNA, 468 nt
Filed under: uncultured bacterium
Lineage: Bacteria
Description: partial 16S ribosomal RNA
Rfam family: Bacterial small subunit ribosomal RNA
Source: RNAcentral
GACGAACGCUGGCGGCGUGCUUAACACAUGCAAGUCGAACGGAAAGGCCCUGCUUUUGUGGGGUGCUCGAGUGGCGAACGGGUGAGUAACACGUGAGUAACCUGCCCUUGACUUUGGGAUAACUUCAGGAAACUGGGGCUAAUACCGGAUAGGAGCUCCUGCUGCAUGGUGGGGGUUGGAAAGUUUCGGCGGUUGGGGAUGAACUCGCGGCUUAUCAGCUUGUUGGUGGGGUAGUGGCUUACCAAGGCUUUGACGAGUAGCCGGCCUGAGAGGGUGACCGGCCACAUUGGGACUGAGAUACGGCCCAGACUCCUACGGGAGGCAGCAGUGGGGAAUAUUGCACAAUGGGCGGAAGCCUGAUGCAGCAACGCCGCGUGCGGGAUGACGGCCUUCGGGUUGUAAACCGCUUUCGCCUGUGACGAAGCGUGAGUGACGGUAAUGGGUAAAGAAGCACCGGCUAACUACGUG